Molecule: ribosomal RNA, 380 nt
Filed under: uncultured eukaryote
Lineage: Eukaryota
Description: partial 18S ribosomal RNA
Rfam family: Eukaryotic small subunit ribosomal RNA
Source: RNAcentral
CAAUAGCGUAUAUUAAAGUUGUUGCGGUUAAAAAGCUCGUAGUUGGAGUUCUGCCAGGUGACACUCGUCCGCCCAAGUGGUGUGUACAGGGUGUGCAUCUGGCCCUUUCAAGGGGAACGUGUCUGCACUUCAUUGUGUGGUGCGAGAUCCUUGACUUUUACUUUGAGGAAAUAAGAGUGUUCCAAGCAGGCUCUCGUCGUGCAUAGCUCAGCAUGGAAUAAUAGCAUUGGACUUCGUUUCCACGCUGUUGGUUGCAAGAAGCGAGGUAAUGAUGUAGAGGGAUAGUUGGGGGCAUUCGUAUUUAACUGUCAGAGGUGAAAUUCUUGGAUUUGUUAAAGGCGGACUACUGCGAAAGCAUCUGCCAUGGAUGUUUUCAUUGA